AAGGGGGCAUGGGGACAAAGACCAAGGGCGAAGUAUGGAGCUGACCUCGAAGGAUGUAGCUCUGAUAGUUGUGGUCAGCAGCAGCACCCACGCGGAUCAGGCAACUCAACCCCUCUGAGUGUACAAAUUCAGGCACCAGGUCCUUGUCUUCCUAGAGGCACCAUGGGAAGGUUAAGGGGGACUGGGCUGGGCACCAACCCUCACCUACCUCUGGAUCUUACCUGGAAUAUCUGCUUUAAUGAAAAGAGGGAUCGGCGGAGCUCGGGGCCACUGGAGCCAUACAGCUUUUCUGUAAGGGGUAAGUGGUCAUAAACAAUUCAAGGGAGCACAGACGGUGUCUUCUUCCACUAGCAUAACCAAAGCCUCUAGCAGUGUCAAGCCUGCUCUCUAUUCUGACUCUGGACACAAUCCUCUGUCACCAUGACUGCAGUCCAGCUGUGGCAUCAAUCUUGACCCAGAAGAAAAGGACGGGAAAGGGAGAGAGGAAGACACACCAGAUCUCUAAUCCACCCAAUCCAUAGCCCAGCACAGGCCGGGAAGAAGCUACACCAACUGGCCUACGUAAGAAAAGAAGGGAACAAGAUGGCAGGAGAUACCACACACUUACCCAAGAUAGCAUUGACCCUCACAGAGAGCUGGGUCCGCAGGAUCAAUGUGGGCUUCCGCCCUUUGCUAAAAGCAAGUAGCUGCUGUUAGUGGCUCCCAACUGAUUUCUCAGAGUCCCCCACCCUCAAAGCAGAGACAUCUAAAGA
RNAcentral lists this long non-coding RNA (752 nucleotides) under Rattus norvegicus (Norway rat). RNAcentral describes it as "long non-coding RNA NONRATT014201". Lineage: Eukaryota; Metazoa; Chordata; Mammalia; Rodentia; Muridae. The record is from RNAcentral.